UUUUGCGCAAUGGGCGAAAGCCUGACGCAGCAACACCGCGUGUAGGAUGAAGGAUUUCGGUUCGUAAACUACUGUCAGCAGGGAAUAAUUUUGACUGUACCUGCAGAGGAAGCAUCGGCUAACUACGUGCCAGCAGCCGCGGUAAGACGUAGGAUGCAAGCGUUGUCCGGAAUUAUUGGGCGUAAAGAGUUCGUAGGCGGUUGCCUAAGUCUGAUGUUAAAUACUAGAGCUCAACUCUGGCAUGGCAUUGGAAACUGGGCGGCUAGAGUGCGGUAGAGGUCUCGGGAAUUCCAGGUGUAGCGGUGAAAUGCGUAGAUAUCUGGAGGAACACCGGUGGCGAAAGCGCGAGACUGGGCCGUAACUGACGCUGAGGAACGAAAGCCAGGGGAGCGAAAG
Molecule: ribosomal RNA, 396 nt
Filed under: uncultured bacterium
Lineage: Bacteria
Description: bacterial SSU rRNA
Rfam family: Bacterial small subunit ribosomal RNA
Source: RNAcentral